UGUUUUUAAUAACUACAAACUAAUAAGAGCGAAUCCAAUAUGUAUUAUUCACAAAUUUGUCCAAAAUGACGUUGUUUUGAAACUUAUGUGAAACGACGUCGCUUCGAUCAUUUCGUGUAGAAAACAUUGUCGUUUUCAGAAUGUAUAAAUGUCACGAAAGUGAAAACCCUAGGUCAUUUUUCAUUUUCUCUAACCCUGGCGUUGUUGCUCUUCUCGCUUCUCUUCUUUGACGAAUUUUCUUCUCCUCUUGGAUCUUCCUUAAACCAUCUGAGAUUGUAGGUACGUUUGUCGAUGCAAUACGCUGUCUUCUUCGAGUGUGUGCUUCUCCCUUCUUCGAGUUUGAUAUUGAUUUUUUUGCCUCAUGUUCAAGCAUUAAUUUCUUUCGAAAGAACGAAGUACGGUUUCAAAGGGUGCUUGUGUACUUUUGAGACUAUAAACCACGACUGUAAUUUCUUCUUCCAGUUUUUGUUUAGCUUUUUCUUAUUUUUCUUCUCAGUUGAUUCUUUCAAAUAAAUUGUGUCUUCUAUAGAAUGAUGGGUUGUAUAUUCUAGAUUUUUUAUUCAUUCCACUAUAUCUAGACCAAUCUUCGUCUCGUGCAUUGCACGAGUAUUGUAUUUAUUAUGUUAUUAUUAAUGUGAAAUAUAUAGAAUUUAAAAAAAGUUUUUGAAAUUUUUGAAAAUGAGAAAUCCUUGUGUCACAAAGUAAAUGAUUUAACAAAUUAGAGAAAAAAAAAAAAGAAUUACAGACAAAAAUAGAAAAAAAUUACAUAACAAAAAUAAAAAAAAAAACAAAAAAGAGUUAUUAUAAAGCUUAAAAAAAAAGAAAUAAAUAAAAUUAUUAUAAAGUUUUUAAAUUAAAUUGAAAU
RNAcentral lists this long non-coding RNA (865 nucleotides) under Olea europaea subsp. europaea. Lineage: Eukaryota; Viridiplantae; Streptophyta; Magnoliopsida; Lamiales; Oleaceae. The record is from RNAcentral.